GCCCCAGUGGCUUAGCGGUUAGAGCAUGCGAGAAUUAUUUCCAUGAAGCUGUUAACCGCAGGGUCGCAGGUUCAAUUCCUGCCUGGGGCG
This 90-nucleotide transfer RNA is filed under the name Candidatus Woesearchaeota archaeon CG10_big_fil_rev_8_21_14_0_10_36_11. Its description in RNAcentral is "tRNA-OTHER". It matches the Rfam family "tRNA". Rfam says of the family: Transfer RNA (tRNA) molecules are approximately 80 nucleotides in length. Their secondary structure includes four short double-helical elements and three loops (D, anti-codon, and T loops). The record is from RNAcentral. Lineage: Archaea; Nanobdellati; Candidatus Woesearchaeota.